AACGCACAUUGCGCCCGCCAGUAUUCUGGCGGGCAUGCCUGUUCGAGCGUCAUUUCAACCAUCAAGCCCUAGGCUUGCGUUGGGGGCCUGCGGCUGCCGCAGCCUCCUAAAAGCAGUGGCGGGCUCGCUGUCAUUCCGAGCGCAGUAGUUACAUCUCGCUCUGGGUGUGGCAGUGGGCACUGGCCGUAAAACACUCUUUCUAAGGUUGACCUCGGAUCAGGUAGGAAUACCCGCUGAACUUAA
Molecule: unclassified non-coding RNA, 243 nt
Filed under: uncultured Ascomycota
Lineage: Eukaryota; Fungi; Ascomycota
Description: sequence contains 5.8S rRNA gene, ITS2, 28S rRNA gene
Rfam family: 5.8S ribosomal RNA (bases 1-52)
Source: RNAcentral